GUCCGUGAACCGUGAGGAAACAGUCUCCCCUUGCGGAUCCGGCGAAAUACACAACAAAAGGAG
Molecule: non-coding RNA, 63 nt
Filed under: unclassified sequences
Description: L20-Deltaproteobacteria ribosomal protein leader
Rfam family: L20-Deltaproteobacteria ribosomal protein leader
Source: RNAcentral